Non-coding RNA from Pelobates cultripes (western spadefoot toad), 262 nucleotides. Lineage: Eukaryota; Metazoa; Chordata; Amphibia; Anura; Pelobatidae. The record is from the annotation of a GenBank genome assembly.
GGGGAUGGUAGAGAUUGGGGUGAGCUCAGGGGCCCCUAGAAGCAGACACAGGAGGGGUAGAGAUUGGGGUGAGCUUAGGGGCCCCUAGAAGCAGACAGGGGGAUGGUAGAGAUUGGGGUGAGCUCAGGGGCCCCUAGAAGCAGACACAGGAGGGGUAGAGAUUGGGGUGAGCUUAGGGGCCCCUAGAGGCAGACAGGGGGGGAUGGUAGAGAUUGGGGUGAGCUCAGGAGCCCCUAGAGGGAGACAGGAGGAGGGGGGUAUA